This 429-nucleotide ribosomal RNA is filed under the name bacterium. RNAcentral describes it as "partial 16S ribosomal RNA". It matches the Rfam family "Bacterial small subunit ribosomal RNA", at positions 355 to 776 of the family's 1533-position model. The record is from RNAcentral.
UAGGGAAUCUUCGGCAAUGGGGGCAACCCUGACCGAGCAACGCCGCGUGAGUGAAGAAGGUUUUCGGAUCGUAAAGCUCUGUUGUAAGAGAAGAACGUGUGUGAGAGUGGAAAGUUCACACAGUGACGGUAACUUACCAGAAAGGGACGGCUAACUACGUGCCAGCAGCCUCGGUAAUACGUAGGUCCCGAGCGUUGUCCGGAUUUAUUGGGCGUAAAGCGAGCGCAGGCGGUUUAAUAAGUCUGAAGUUAAAGGCAGUGGCUUAACCAUUGUUCGCUUUGGAAACUGUUAAACUUGAGUGCAGAAGGGGAGAGUGGAAUUCCAUGUGUAGCGGUGAAAUGCGUAGAUAUAUGGAGGAACACCGGUGGCGAAAGCGGCUCUCUGGUCUGUAACUGACGCUGAGGCUCGAAAGCGUGGGGAGCAAACAGG